GGUGAGGUGGGUGAGUGGCUGAAACCACCAGUUUGCUAAACUGACGUACUCGCAAGGGUACCGAGGGUUCGAAUCCCUCCCUCACCGCCA
This 90-nucleotide transfer RNA is filed under the name Bacteroidales bacterium. RNAcentral's name for it is "tRNA-Ser". It matches the Rfam family "tRNA". From Rfam's summary of the family: Transfer RNA (tRNA) molecules are approximately 80 nucleotides in length. Their secondary structure includes four short double-helical elements and three loops (D, anti-codon, and T loops). Lineage: Bacteria; Pseudomonadati; Bacteroidota; Bacteroidia; Bacteroidales. The record is from RNAcentral.